UCUUCUACUGCCUCAUAUUUUGGAAAUCAAUACAAAAGUCAUGCUGUUUCCUCUACAGAGUGAUCCAACUCACAGCAGUGUGGGAAGAAGGUAGUAGGGAGAGAAACCUGAGGCAGACAUUCCUGUGGUCAAGCUGUUCUGGAGGUCUCACGUGAAGAGACAGAGGAGAGGAGAACACUGUCAAUGCUGAAAGAAGAGGAAACUGAGCACUAAACAACUUUACUUUGGUUUUCCUGCAAAGAAAAUGAAUGUAAUUUUUCCUCACUGCUUAGAAAAAUACAAACAUUAAGGAUCAUCUUCUUAAACUAUCAGAAAAAUUCCAUUAUUCUGUGAUUGUCUGGCAGCUGAAGCACUACCCAUUUGCACUGCACGUGCCCAGGAUGAGCAGGACUCCGACCUUCACUCACAGAGGAGUUUUUCAGUGUCUGGUGAAGGUUUGGCAGUGGCAUGAACACACAAUUCAAAGAAGUGAAGGAACAACAUUG
Molecule: long non-coding RNA, 485 nt
Filed under: Parus major (Great Tit)
Lineage: Eukaryota; Metazoa; Chordata; Aves; Passeriformes; Paridae
Description: lncRNA (ENSPMJG00000011350.1)
Source: RNAcentral